RNAcentral lists this ribosomal RNA (207 nucleotides) under uncultured bacterium. RNAcentral describes it as "partial 16S ribosomal RNA". It matches the Rfam family "Bacterial small subunit ribosomal RNA", at positions 568 to 774 of the family's 1533-position model. The record is from RNAcentral.
AGCGCAGACGGAGAGGUAAGUCAGAUGUGGAAGCCCCGGGCAUAACCCGGGGAGUGCAUUUGAAACUAUCACUCUUGAGUACUGGAGAGGUAAGCGGAAUUCCUGGUGUAGCGGUGAAAUGCGUAGAUAUCAGGAGGAACACCGGUGGCGAAGGCGGCUUACUGGACAGAAACUGACGUUGAGGCUCGAAAGCGUGGGUAGCAAACA